This is a long non-coding RNA of Cyprinus carpio (common carp), 601 nucleotides long. NCBI's taxonomy places the organism in Eukaryota, Metazoa, Chordata, Actinopteri, Cypriniformes, Cyprinidae. The record is from Ensembl.
CGGCUCUUUUCGCUCGGUUCAGGUCGUUCCUCCUGCUAUUGUUUUGUUAUUUCUCCUAAUACAGUUUUGAGUAUGGCUUUCUUCGGACUCACAUAUUUGGGCUAUCAGAACCCUUUUGGGGACAGGAUGGUAACAUCUAGGCACAACAAUCUUACACGAGACUCAUCAGACCUGCAUCUCGGCAGUCAGAGCAGAUAUCAGGACUUGAGCAGACGCGUUCAGAGGUCUCCUAAAGAGCUGUAUCGUGUACCUGUGACGGACAACCAGCAGUACGGCUGGUGGGUUUCCACCGAUGGCCUGAAGAACCAGGAGCCUUGGACUCAAACCCGUCGCUUCCCACGCAAAAACAGCGAAAUGACCAAGUUUGUGAAUGAGAUGUCAAUGACUUGCCCAGACUUCAGCUUGUUUUGAUUCCUGGUCCUUGGAACUGUAAGACAGUAUGUUCACAUGGUGAUCACAGUGCACUAAUACUGCAACACUGCAGUGUGUCACUUUGCUCUGCAGAACAGGAGGUGCAGAGGACACACAACUCACACUAAUGCCAGUGUUACCUAUCCACUGCACAGCUAUGGCUGUGCCAUAUUGUUUAUAGAAUUUAGUG